Non-coding RNA from Oryza sativa Japonica Group (Japanese rice), 764 nucleotides. NCBI's taxonomy places the organism in Eukaryota, Viridiplantae, Streptophyta, Magnoliopsida, Poales, Poaceae. The record is from RefSeq and is a predicted model, not a curated record.
AACAUUUGAUAAUAAAUCAAAUCACAAUAAAAUAAAUUAUAAUUACAUCAAUUUUCAAAUAAGAUAAAUGUUUAAAUAUAUAUAAAAAGAAAAAAAAUCAAAGCGUUAUAUAUUGAAAAAGGGAACGGAGUGGGCAUAUGCGAAGCAUAUAUAUAAGCCACGGAUCAGUAAUUCGCAUGCUUGCCUACGCAUGCGUGCAGGGGCGGCGGCCAUGGCAGCUCGCACGUAAACGUUUGGAUGGGUCUGAAGAAUAUGAGGACGAAGAAGAAUAUGAAACAAAGGAAGAGUGAUCUUUUACUGCAGCAGAACUACAAUUCUGGUGAAAUAUUAUUUGUCGUGCAGCCCCACCGCUCAUCGAUAUCACCGGCCGUGCCACUGGUUGAGCCCCCGUGCGCUCGUUAACCCUGCUCGCGUCAGCCCCGCACUCCUCGGUACCAGGGGCGUCACCGCUGCUCUCCGUCACGAUGGGGUGUGCCGUCGUUGUUCUCCUCGAAAUGAUUGUUGAUUGGUCUUUUUGAUGAAAAAGUAUAUAGAGGACAUUUUUUUUACUUCAAAUGAUACUUCUAAUGAUUGACCAUUGAAGAAUGACUUCCAUGGAACGGCGUCAUAUUUGAUUUGUGACUUAAAAGCAUUGUCUAACUGCUAGAAGUUAGGACCUUAUGUAGAAUUUUAAUUAGUGCACAAGUUUGUACUGUUAUGUAUUAUGUGAAGUAAAGACAUGGAUGUUCAAUGGUAACUUAUGUGCUUUUGUGAAAAUUUUGCAU